Molecule: non-coding RNA, 111 nt
Organism: Termitomyces sp. Mi166#008
Lineage: Eukaryota; Fungi; Basidiomycota; Agaricomycetes; Agaricales; Lyophyllaceae
Source: the annotation of a GenBank genome assembly
GGUGAGAUGGCCGAGCGGUCUAAGGCGCCAGACUAAGGAAAGACUAGGGUAUGAGAUCGCCCAAGUCAUCUGGUCUCUUCGGGGGCGCGAGUUCGAAUCUCGCUCUCAUCA